CCUUCUUCCCGAGCAAUCGACCACUACCCGUAUCCUAGAACACCAGAUUUCACAACCAUUCGAACCCUUACCUCCAUCUUCAACAUCUUGUCAUCACCUGGCCAUAGAGUUACCCAAAACAGCCCCAAUCAUCACCCAAAACCACACUACCAGCCAAGGUUUUCGCCAUAUUUCCACUGCCAUCGGCCACCGUUUCGAGUGCGGACCACCACCACUCUACUCCUCUCAACUAGGCGUAUCCAAUACAACCAUGGGUCACCUGCAAUUUUGUCCAAAUUCGAGUGAGCUUGUGAAAGUAGUCCGUGAGUUGUGGCAGAUUUGGUCCCAACAAAAUUGAUGAAAUUUUAUUGAUGCAAACAAUCAAUUCUGCUUUCCAAACAUCAAGUGGAAGGAACGUCCUACUGAAAUGGAGGUGCCUCGAAAGGAAGUAGUUGUUAAUCAGGUGCAACAAUUGGAUUAUAGAGCGCGUCAAGAGAGGGAACUGAAGUUCACGACUGCUGGCUGGAAGCGUGAUUGCCAUGGUAGGUGGUUUAAGGAUGAAAAUGUAAGCUUUAAUUUCUUUGGCUUCAUGUUUAAUUGGUAAUAGGUACAAAUUUUUGGUUUAACUUGCAGUGAUAAAUUUGAGGGCUGUUUAAUUAUCUUUUGUUGUCAUAGUAUAUUUGCUUCUACAUGAUAAAAUUUUAAUAGAAUAAAUCAUUUCAAUUUGGUAGAGGUCUGUAUGAUGGUUUCAUUUGCUUGCAAGUUGAGUUUUAAUCCGAUGCACAUAUGAGGGAUUCUUGAUUUUUCAUCCGUUAAGAUGCAAACAUAUUGGUAUUCUAUGCAUCUAAGAAAUGAGCAGCAAUUACAUUUCAUGCUGGUGUGUGCCAUCACAAUUUGUAUGUUAAGAGGAAACUAUUUUCAGCCUUUCUAACUGAAUAUUGACAAAUGACAAUGGGAUGAGUUUGGUCUUCUUGCAGUAUUCUGUCUCUCAAUGUCAUUUUGAGCUUCGUUUGGGCAUGCAUGAUAUGUGUAGAUAAAUUAAAAGAUGAUUUGAGGUUGGUUGACUAAGCUCGAAGUGUUUUGGUGCUUGUUGAACAAGUUUGAAUUUUUUUGAUGGGAAUGGAUUUCGGCUAUUUCUGUUUGAA
Molecule: long non-coding RNA, 1124 nt
Organism: Olea europaea var. sylvestris
Lineage: Eukaryota; Viridiplantae; Streptophyta; Magnoliopsida; Lamiales; Oleaceae
Exons: 2
Source: RefSeq, a predicted model, not a curated record